UACGGGGGGGGUAAGCGUUGUUCGGAAUUACUGGGCGUAAAGGGCGCGUAGGCGGCCGCCUAAGUCAGACGUGAAAUCCCUCGGCUCAACCGGGGAACUGCGUCUGAUACUGGGUGGCUUGAAUUCGGGAGAGGGAUGCGGAAUUCCAGGUGUAGCGGUGAAAUGCGUAGAUAUCUGGAGGAACACCGGUGGCGAAGGCGGCAUCCUGGACCGAGAUUGACGCUGAGGCGCGAAAGCCAGGGGAGCAAACGGG
This 253-nucleotide ribosomal RNA is filed under the name uncultured bacterium. Its description in RNAcentral is "partial 16S ribosomal RNA". It matches the Rfam family "Bacterial small subunit ribosomal RNA", at positions 524 to 776 of the family's 1533-position model. The record is from RNAcentral.